Molecule: ribosomal RNA, 1527 nt
Filed under: Lactiplantibacillus plantarum
Lineage: Bacteria; Bacillati; Bacillota; Bacilli; Lactobacillales; Lactobacillaceae
Description: bacterial SSU rRNA
Rfam family: Bacterial small subunit ribosomal RNA
Source: RNAcentral
GAGUUUGAUCCUGGCUCAGGACGAACGCUGGCGGCGUGCCUAAUACAUGCAAGUCGAACGAACUCUGGUAUUGAUUGGUGCUUGCAUCAUGAUUUACAUUUGAGUGAGUGGCGAACUGGUGAGUAACACGUGGGAAACCUGCCCAGAAGCGGGGGAUAACACCUGGAAACAGAUGCUAAUACCGCAUAACAACUUGGACCGCAUGGUCCGAGUUUGAAAGAUGGCUUCGGCUAUCACUUUUGGAUGGUCCCGCGACGUAUUAGCUAGAUGGUGAGGUAAUGGCUCACCAUGGCAAUGAUACGUAGCCGACCUGAGAGGGUAAUCGGCCACAUUGGGACUGAGACAUGGCCCAAACUCCUACGGGAGGCAGCAGUAGGGAAUCUUCCACAAUGGACGAAAGUCUGAUGGAGCAACGCCGCGUGAGUGAAGAAGGGUUUCGGCUCGUAAAACUCUGUUGUUAAAGAAGAACAUAUCUGAGAGUAACCGUUCAGGUAUUGACGGUAUUUAACCAGAAAGCCACGGCUAACUACGUGCCAGCAGCCGCGGUAAUACGUAGGUGGCAAGCGUUGUCCGGAUUUAUUGGGCGUAAAGCGAGCGCAGGCGGUUUUUUAAGUCUGAUGUGAAAGCCUUCGGCUCAACCGAAGAAGUGCAUCGGAAACUGGGAAACUUGAGUGCAGAAGAGGACAGUGGAACUCCAUGUGUAGCGGUGAAAUGCGUAGAUAUAUGGAAGAACACCAGUGGCGAAGGCGGCUGUCUGGUCUGUAACUGACGCUGAGGCUCGAAAGUAUGGGUAGCAAACAGGAUUAGAUACCCUGGUAGUCCAUACCGUAAACGAUGAAUGCUAAGUGUUGGAGGGUUUCCGCCCUUCAGUGCUGCAGCUAACGCAUUAAGCAUUCCGCCUGGGGAGUACGGCCGCAAGGCUGAAACUCAAAGGAAUUGACGGGGGCCCGCACAAGCGGUGGAGCAUGUGGUUUAAUUCGAAGCUACGCGAAGAACCUUACCAGGUCUUGACAUACUAUGCAAAUCUAAGAGAUUAGACGUUCCCUUCGGGGACAUGGAUACAGGUGGUGCAUGGUUGUCGUCAGCUCGUGUCGUGAGAUGUUGGGUUAAGUCCCGCAACGAGCGCAACCCUUAUUAUCAGUUGCCAGCAUUAAGUUGGGCACUCUGGUGAGACUGCCGGUGACAAACCGGAGGAAGGUGGGGAUGACGUCAAAUCAUCAUGCCCCUUAUGACCUGGGCUACACACGUGCUACAAUGGAUGGUACAACGAGUUGCGAACUCGCGAGAGUAAGCUAAUCUCUUAAAGCCAUUCUCAGUUCGGAUUGUAGGCUGCAACUCGCCUACAUGAAGUCGGAAUCGCUAGUAAUCGCGGAUCAGCAUGCCGCGGUGAAUACGUUCCCGGGCCUUGUACACACCGCCCGUCACACCAUGAGAGUUUGUAACACCCAAAGUCGGUGGGGUAACCUUUUAGGAACCAGCCGCCUAAGGUGGGACAGAUGAUUAGGGUGAAGUCGUAACAAGGUAACC